RNAcentral lists this transfer RNA (75 nucleotides) under Sphaerodactylus townsendi. Its description in RNAcentral is "tRNA-Ala". The stretch from base 9 to 75 matches the Rfam family "tRNA". From Rfam's summary of the family: Transfer RNA (tRNA) molecules are approximately 80 nucleotides in length. Their secondary structure includes four short double-helical elements and three loops (D, anti-codon, and T loops). Further hydrogen bonds mediate the characteristic L-shaped molecular structure. tRNAs have two regions of fundamental functional importance: the anti-codon, which is responsible for specific mRNA codon recognition, and the 3' end, to which the tRNAs corresponding amino acid is attached (by aminoacyl-tRNA synthetases). tRNAs cope with the degeneracy of the genetic code in two manners: having more than one tRNA (with a specific anti-codon) for a particular amino acid; and 'wobble' base-pairing, i.e. permitting non-standard base-pairing at the 3rd anti-codon position. Lineage: Eukaryota; Metazoa; Chordata; Lepidosauria; Squamata; Sphaerodactylidae. The record is from RNAcentral.
AGGGUUGUGGAGGCUCAGUGGUAGAGCAUCUGGUUGGCAUGCAGAAGGUCCUAGGUUCAAUCCCUGGCAUUUCCA